AGCCUUGUAGUGUAGAAUACAUGUUGGAAUGCAAUUCCAGAGUCGUAGAUUAAUCUCUGCCGGGGCUU
RNAcentral lists this transfer RNA (68 nucleotides) under Garra flavatra. Its description in RNAcentral is "tRNA-Cys". The record is from RNAcentral. Lineage: Eukaryota; Metazoa; Chordata; Actinopteri; Cypriniformes; Cyprinidae.